Molecule: ribosomal RNA, 1034 nt
Filed under: Salmonella enterica
Lineage: Bacteria; Pseudomonadati; Pseudomonadota; Gammaproteobacteria; Enterobacterales; Enterobacteriaceae
Description: partial 23S ribosomal RNA
Rfam family: Bacterial large subunit ribosomal RNA
Source: RNAcentral
CUGCGGCAGCGACACUCAGGUGUUGUUGGGUAGGGGAGCGUUCUGUAAGCCUGCGAAGGUGGCCUGUGAGGGUUGCUGGAGGUAUCAGAAGUGCGAAUGCUGACAUAAGUAACGAUAAAGCGGGUGAAAAGCCCGCUCGCCGGAAGACCAAGGGUUCCUGUCCAACGUUAAUCGGGGCAGGGUGAGUCGACCCCUAAGGCGAGGCCGAAAGGCGUAGUCGAUGGGAAACGGGUUAAUAUUCCCGUACUUGGUGUUACUGCGAAGGGGGGACGGAGAAGGCUAUGUUGGCCGGGCGACGGUUGUCCCGGUUUAAGCGUGUAGGUGUGUGUUCCAGGUAAAUCCGGUUCACUUUAACACUGAGGCGUGAUGACGAGGCACUACGGUGCUGAAGCAACAAAUGCCCUGCUUCCAGGAAAAGCCUCUAAGCAUCAGGUAACAUCAAAUCGUACCCCAAACCGACACAGGUGGUCAGGUAGAGAAUACCAAGGCGCUUGAGAGAACUCGGGUGAAGGAACUAGGCAAAAUGGUGCCGUAACUUCGGGAGAAGGCACGCUGACACGUAGGUGAAGUGAUUUACUCAUGGAGCUGAAGUCAGUCGAAGAUACCAGCUGGCUGCAACUGUUUAUUAAAAACACAGCACUGUGCAAACACGAAAGUGGACGUAUACGGUGUGACGCCUGCCCGGUGCCGGAAGGUUAAUUGAUGGGGUCAGCGCAAGCGAAGCUCCUGAUCGAAGCCCCGGUAAACGGCGGCCGUAACUAUAACGGUCCUAAGGUAGCGAAAUUCCUUGUCGGGUAAGUUCCGACCUGCACGAAUGGCGUAAUGAUGGCCAGGCUGUCUCCACCCGAGACUCAGUGAAAUUGAACUCGCUGUGAAGAUGCAGUGUACCCGCGGCAAGACGGAAAGACCCCGUGAACCUUUACUAUAGCUUGACACUGAACAUUGAGCCUUGAUGUGUAGGAUAGGUGGGAGGCUUUGAAGCGUGGACGCCAGUCUGCGUGGAGCCGACCUUGAAAUACCACCCUUUAAUGUUU